UACGAAGGGGGCUAGCGUUGCUCGGAAUCACUGGGCGUAAAGCGCACGUAGGCGGCUUCUUAAGUCAGGGGUGAAAUCCUGGAGCUCAACUCCAGAACUGCCUUUGAUACUGGGAAGCUUCGAGUCCGGAAGAGGUGAGUGGAACUGCGAGUGUAGAGGUGAAAUUCGUAGAUAUUCGCAAGAACACCAGUGGCGAAGGCGGCUCACUGGUCCGGUACUGACGCUGAGGUGCGAAAGCGUGGGGAGCAAACAGG
RNAcentral lists this ribosomal RNA (254 nucleotides) under uncultured bacterium. RNAcentral's name for it is "partial 16S ribosomal RNA". It matches the Rfam family "Bacterial small subunit ribosomal RNA", at positions 524 to 776 of the family's 1533-position model. The record is from RNAcentral.